AGUGAACGCUGGCGGUAGGCCUAACACAUGCAAGUCGAACGGCAGCACAGUAAGAGCUUGCCCUUACGGGUGGCGAGUGGCGGACGGGUGAGGAAUACAUCGGAAUCUACUUUUUCGUGGGGGAUAACGUAGGGAAACUUACGCUAAUACCGCAUACGACCUACGGGUGAAAGCAGGGGAUCUUCGGACCUUGCGCGAUUGAAUGAGCCGAUGUCGGAUUAGCUAGUUGGCGGGGUAAAGGCCCACCAAGGCGACGAUCCGUAGCUGGUCUGAGAGGAUGAUCAGCCACACUGGAACUGAGACACGGUCCAGACUCCUACGGGAGGCAGCAGUGGGGAAUAUUGGAUAAUGGGCGCAAGCCUGAUCCAGCCAUACCGCGUGGGUGAAGAAGGCCUUCGGGUUGUAAAGCCCUUUUGUUGGGAAAGAAAAGCAGCAGGUUAAUACCCCGCUGUUCUGACGGUACCCAAAGAAUAAGCACCGGCUAACUUCGUG
This 492-nucleotide ribosomal RNA is filed under the name uncultured bacterium. Its description in RNAcentral is "partial 16S ribosomal RNA". It matches the Rfam family "Bacterial small subunit ribosomal RNA", at positions 29 to 507 of the family's 1533-position model. The record is from RNAcentral.